GAGGAAAAGAAACCAACAGGGAUUGCCCCAGUAACGGCGAGUGAAGCGGCAAGAGCUCAAAUUUGAAAGCUGGCUCCUUCGGGGUCCGCAUUGUAAUUUGUAGAGGAUGCUUCGGGAGCGGUCCCCAUCUAAGUGCCCUGGAACGGGACGUCAUAGAGGGUGAGAAUCCCGUAUGGGAUGGGGUGUCCGCGCCCGUGUGAAGCUCCUUCGACGAGUCGAGUUGUUUGGGAAUGCAGCUCUAAAUGGGUGGUAAAUUUCAUCUAAAGCUAAAUAUUGGCCGGAGACCGAUAGCGCACAAGUAGAGUGAUCGAAAGAUGAAAAGCACUUUGAAAAGAGAGUUAAAAAGCACGUGAAAUUGUUGAAAGGGAAGCGCUUGCGACCAGACUCGCUCGCGGGGUUCAGCCGGCAUUCGUGCCGGUGUACUUCCCCGCGGGCGGGCCAGCGUCGGUUUGGGCGGUCGGUCAAAGGCCCUCGGAAGGUAACGCCCCUAGGGGCGUCUUAUAGCCGAGGGUGCAAUGCGACCUGCCUAGACCGAGGAAC
Molecule: ribosomal RNA, 540 nt
Filed under: Penicillium sp.
Lineage: Eukaryota; Fungi; Ascomycota; Eurotiomycetes; Eurotiales; Aspergillaceae
Description: partial large subunit ribosomal RNA
Rfam family: Eukaryotic large subunit ribosomal RNA
Source: RNAcentral